AGUGAACGCUGGCGGUAGGCCUAACACAUGCAAGUCGAACGGCAGCACAGUAAGAGCUUGCUCUUACGGGUGGCGAGUGGCGGACGGGUGAGGAAUACAUCGGAAUCUACUUUUUCGUGGGGGAUAACGUAGGGAAACUUACGCUAAUACCGCAUACGACCUACGGGUGAAAGCAGGGGAUCUUCGGACCUUGCGCGAUUGAAUGGGCCGAUGUCGGAUUAGCUAGUUGGCGGGGUAAAGGCCCACCAAGGCGACGAUCCGUAGCUGGUCUGAGAGGAUGAUCAGCCACACUGGAACUGAGACACGGCCCAGACUCCUACGGGAGGCAGCAGUGGGGAAUAUUGGACAAUGGGCGCAAGCCUGAUCCAGCCAUACCGCGUGGGUGAAGAAGGCCUUCGGGUUGUAAAGCCCUUUUGUUGGGAAAGAAAAGCAGCAGGUUAAUACCCCGCUGUUCUGACGGUACCCAAAGAAUAAGCACCGGCUAACUUCGUG
This 492-nucleotide ribosomal RNA is filed under the name uncultured bacterium. RNAcentral describes it as "partial 16S ribosomal RNA". It matches the Rfam family "Bacterial small subunit ribosomal RNA", at positions 29 to 507 of the family's 1533-position model. The record is from RNAcentral.